AUACGGAGGGUGCAAGCGUUACUCGGAAUCACUGGGCGUAAAGCGCGCGUAGGCGGCUUGAUAAGUUGGAUGUGAAAGCCUACGGCUCAACCGUAGAACUGCAUCCAAAACUGUCAGGCUAGAGUGUGGGAGAGGAAGAUGGAAUUAGUUGUGUAGGGGUAAAAUCCGUAGAGAUAACUAGGAAUACCAAAAGCGAAGGCAAUCUUCUGGAACACUACUGACGCUGAGGCGCGAAGGCGUGGGGAGCAAACAGGAUUAGAAACCCUGGUAGUCC
Molecule: ribosomal RNA, 274 nt
Filed under: uncultured bacterium
Lineage: Bacteria
Description: partial 16S ribosomal RNA
Rfam family: Bacterial small subunit ribosomal RNA
Source: RNAcentral